UCCAGGACCCCAGCAGAUAAGGACAACAAUCCAAGAUGCAAGACAAAGGCCAAUAGCCAGGCUUUUUAGCAAAAGCUGAGGGCAGAAAGCUGCCCCCUUCCCCCUUGGUACCCCACAUCAGCCAAGAAAAUCUCCUGCUACAUCCAGCUGCCUGCGAUGGCACCUUUUCCCCUCUUGGAUAUUUUUGUUUUGACACUGUCAGUGAUUAGAUCCAGUUGCAGCAAGCAGUUACGAACAGCAUGGAGCAGCAGCAGUUUCCAUUCCCUUACCUUCCCGAUUUGCAAGGGAGGGGGGCUUGUAAAUACAGUAAUGAAGAUCUGCCCCGAAAGGAAACACUGCUUACAGCACCACAGAAAACAUCUUCAAUGGCAUUUUUUCGCCUCUGCAGCCGGACCUACGGUGAGCUAACUGAAAACGGAUCCAGCUACUUCUAAAAUUACUUACAGCUCGUGUCCCCCACUACAACUCGUAGCACCGUGCGGACCUAAGGAUGGCUUAAAUUCAGAUGAGAAUAAGCACAAACGCGAGGAGAGGGAGGGGCUGGAAGCUCAGGGUACGUUUUUCGUUGGCAUUAUCUGCCUCAUCCCCCUCUCCCCAGCCAGCAUCGACUCGGUUUUCCGCUGGCGAAGCCCCGCCGAGCGGCACCGUCACCAGGACCGGGUACCCGGACCCGCCGCCUCCCACCCCUGCCCGGGGAACGGAGCCAACAGAGGCUGGCGGGGUGGGGGGGGUGUGUGUAGACGACGAACAGCAUGGGCAGCCACGGCCAUAACAACUACCGCUUACAACUUUGUAUUUAUGGGGUUAUAACGAUAACUAAUAAUAACAAUAAUGAUAAUAAUAACAACAACAAUA
Pezoporus occidentalis (night parrot) is the source of this 855-nucleotide long non-coding RNA. RefSeq lists it as uncharacterized. The record is from RefSeq and is a predicted model, not a curated record. The transcript is spliced from 2 exons. NCBI's taxonomy places the organism in Eukaryota, Metazoa, Chordata, Aves, Psittaciformes, Psittacidae.